RNAcentral lists this ribosomal RNA (600 nucleotides) under uncultured bacterium. RNAcentral's name for it is "bacterial SSU rRNA". It matches the Rfam family "Bacterial small subunit ribosomal RNA", at positions 740 to 1344 of the family's 1533-position model. The record is from RNAcentral.
CUGACGCUAAAGCUCGAAGGUGCGGGUAUCGAACAGGAUUAGAUACCCUGGUAGUCCGCACGGUAAACGAUGGAUGCCCGCUGUUUGCGAUAUACUGUGAGCGGCCAAGAGAAAUCGUUAAGCAUCCCACCUGGGGAGUACGCCGGCAACGGUGAAACUCAAAGGAAUUGACGGGGGCCCGCACAAGCGGAGGAACAUGUGGUUUAAUUCGAUGAUACGCGAGGAACCUUACCCGGGCUUGAACUGCAGGAGAAGGAUACAGAGAUGUUGACGCCCUUCGGGGCUCCUGUGGAGGUGCUGCAUGGUUGUCGUCAGCUCGUGCCGUGAGGUGUCGGCUUAAGUGCCAUAACGAGCGCAACCCUUUUCUUCAGUUGCCAUCAGGUUAAGCUGGGCACUCUGGAGACACUGCCACCGUAAGGUGUGAGGAAGGUGGGGAUGACGUCAAAUCAGCACGGCCCUUACGUCCGGGGCUACACACGUGUUACAAUGGCCGGUACAGAAAGUCGGAUGCCCGUAAGGUCAUUCUAAUCAAGAAAGCCGGUCCCAGUUCGGACUGAGGUCUGCAACCCGACCCCAUGAAGCUGGAUUCGCUAGUAAUCG